UGGGGGAUCGUCUAAUGGUAGGACUACGGGUUUUGGUCCCGUGUAUUGGGGUUCGAAUCCCUGUCCCCCAGCCA
This 74-nucleotide transfer RNA is filed under the name candidate division WWE3 bacterium. Its description in RNAcentral is "tRNA-Gln". It matches the Rfam family "tRNA". Rfam says of the family: Transfer RNA (tRNA) molecules are approximately 80 nucleotides in length. Their secondary structure includes four short double-helical elements and three loops (D, anti-codon, and T loops). Further hydrogen bonds mediate the characteristic L-shaped molecular structure. tRNAs have two regions of fundamental functional importance: the anti-codon, which is responsible for specific mRNA codon recognition, and the 3' end, to which the tRNAs corresponding amino acid is attached (by aminoacyl-tRNA synthetases). tRNAs cope with the degeneracy of the genetic code in two manners: having more than one tRNA (with a specific anti-codon) for a particular amino acid; and 'wobble' base-pairing, i.e. permitting non-standard base-pairing at the 3rd anti-codon position. Lineage: Bacteria; candidate division WWE3. The record is from RNAcentral.